GUGCUCGCUUUGGCAGCACAUAUACUGAAAUUGGACCGAUACAGAGAAGAUUAGCAUGGCCCCUGUGCAAGGAUGAUACGCAAAUUCGUGAAGCGUUCCAUAUUUAA
Molecule: small nuclear RNA, 107 nt
Filed under: Echinops telfairi (small Madagascar hedgehog)
Lineage: Eukaryota; Metazoa; Chordata; Mammalia; Afrosoricida; Tenrecidae
Source: RNAcentral